Molecule: ribosomal RNA, 447 nt
Filed under: uncultured Alphaproteobacteria bacterium
Lineage: Bacteria; Pseudomonadati; Pseudomonadota; Alphaproteobacteria
Description: bacterial SSU rRNA
Rfam family: Bacterial small subunit ribosomal RNA
Source: RNAcentral
AAUUGCCUUUAAAACUGCAUCGCUAGAAUUGUGGAGAGGUAAGUGGAAUUCCGAGUGUAGAGGUGAAAUUCGUAGAUAUUCGGAAGAACACCAGUGGCGAAGGCGACUUACUGGACACAUAUUGACGCUGAGGUGCGAAAGCGUGGGGAGCAAACAGAAUUAGAUACCCUGGUAGUCCACGCUGUAAACGAUGAUGACUAGCUGUCGGGGCGCUUAGCGUUCCGGUGGCGCAGCUAACGCGUUAAGUCAUCCGCCUGGGGAGUACGGCCCAAGGUUAAAACUCAAAGAAAUUGACGGGGGCCUGCACAAGCGGUGGAGCAUGUGGUUUAAUUCGAAGCAACGCGCAGAACCUUACCAGCGUUUGACAUGGUAGGACGGUUUCCAGAGAUGGAUUCCUUCCCUUACGGGACCUACACACAGGUGCUGCAUGGCUGUCUCAGCUCGGUC